Molecule: ribosomal RNA, 2916 nt
Filed under: Acinetobacter baumannii
Lineage: Bacteria; Pseudomonadati; Pseudomonadota; Gammaproteobacteria; Moraxellales; Moraxellaceae
Description: 23S ribosomal RNA
Rfam family: Bacterial large subunit ribosomal RNA
Source: RNAcentral
GUUGUAUAGUCAAGUAAUUAAGUGCAUGUGGUGGAUGCCUUGGCAGUCAGAGGCGAUGAAAGACGUGAUAGCCUGCGAAAAGCUCCGGGAGGCGGCAAAUAUCCUUUGAUCCGGAGAUGUCUGAAUGGGGGAACCCACCUACUUUAAGGUAGGUAUUGCAACAUGAAUACAUAGUGUUGCAAGGCGAACGAGGGGAAGUGAAACAUCUCAGUACCCUUAGGAAAAGAAAUCAAUUGAGAUUCCCUCAGUAGCGGCGAGCGAACGGGGAUCAGCCCAUUAAGUUAUGUGUGUUUUAGUGGAACGCUCUGGGAAGUGCGAACGUAGAGGGUGAUAUUCCCGUACACGAAAGGGCACACAUAAUGAUGACGAGUAGGGCGAGGCACGUGAAACCUUGUCUGAAUAUGGGGGGACCAUCCUCCAAGGCUAAAUACUCCUGACUGACCGAUAGUGAACCAGUACCGUGAGGGAAAGGCGAAAAGAACCCCUGUGAGGGGAGUGAAAUAGAUCCUGAAACCGCAUGCAUACAAGCAGUGGGAGCACCUUCGUGGUGUGACUGCGUACCUUUUGUAUAAUGGGUCAGCGACUUAUAUUCAGUAGCGAGGUUAACCGUAUAGGGAGCCGUAGAGAAAUCGAGUCUUAAUAGGGCGUUUAGUUGCUGGGUAUAGACCCGAAACCAGGCGAUCUAUCCAUGAGCAGGUUGAAGGUUGGGUAACACUAACUGGAGGACCGAACCCACUGUCGUUGAAAAGCCAGGGGAUGACUUGUGGAUAGGGGUGAAAGGCUAAUCAAGCCUGGUGAUAGCUGGUUCUCCCCGAAAGCUAUUUAGGUAGCGCCUCGGACGAAUACCAUAGGGGGUAGAGCACUGUUUCGGCUAGGGGGUCAUCCCGACUUACCAAACCGAUGCAAACUCCGAAUACCUAUGAGUACUAUCCGGGAGACAGACUGCGGGUGCUAACGUCCGUAGUCAAGAGGAAAACAAUCCAGACCGCCAGCUAAGGCCCCAAAAUCAUAGUUAAGUGGGAAACGAUGUGGGAAGGCAUAGACAGCUAGGAGGUUGGCUUAGAAGCAGCCACCCUUUAAAGAAAGCGUAAUAGCUCACUAGUCGAGUCGGCCUGCGCGGAAGAUGUAACGGGGCUAAAACUAUGUGCCGAAGCUGCGGAUGUAUACUUUGUAUACGUGGUAGGGGAGCGUUCUGUAAGCCGAUGAAGGUGUGUUGAGAAGCAUGCUGGAGGUAUCAGAAGUGCGAAUGCUGACGUGAGUAACGACAAAACGGGUGAAAAACCCGUUCGCCGAAAGACCAAGGGUUCCAGUCCAACGUUAAUCGGGGCUGGGUGAGUCGACCCCUAAGGCGAGGCCGAAAGGCGUAGUCGAUGGGAAAAUGGUUAAUAUUCCAUUACUUCUGUGUAAUGCGAUGAGAGGACGGAGAAGGCUAAAUCAGCCUGGCGUUGGUUGUCCAGGUGAAAGGAUGUAGGCAUGUAUCUUAGGCAAAUCCGGGGUGCUCUAUGCUGAGAUCUGAUAGCAAGCUGUACUUGUACAGCGAAGUGGUUGAUGCCAUGCUUCCAGGAAAAGUCUCUAAGCUUCAGUUACACAGGAAUCGUACCCGAAACCGACACAGGUGGUCAGGUCGAGUAGACCAAGGCGCUUGAGAGAACUCUGCUGAAGGAACUAGGCAAAAUGGUACCGUAACUUCGGGAGAAGGUACGCUGUUGUUGGUGAUGGAACUCGCUUCCUGAGCUGACGACAGCCGCAGAAACCAGGCCGCUGCAACUGUUUAUUAAAAACAUAGCACUCUGCAAACACGAAAGUGGACGUAUAGGGUGUGAUGCCUGCCCGGUGCUGGAAGGUUAAUUGAUGGGGUUAGCGUAAGCGAAGCUCUUGAUCGAAGCCCCAGUAAACGGCGGCCGUAACUAUAACGGUCCUAAGGUAGCGAAAUUCCUUGUCGGGUAAGUUCCGACCUGCACGAAUGGCAUAAUGAUGGCGGCGCUGUCUCCAGCAGAGGCUCAGUGAAAUCGAAAUCGCUGUGAAGAUGCAGUGUACCCGCGGCUAGACGGAAAGACCCCGUGAACCUUUACUGCAGCUUGACACUGAACUUUGACCUUACUUGUGUAGGAUAGGUGGGAGGCUUUGAAGCUGGAACGCUAGUUCCAGUGGAGCCGUCCUUGAAAUACCACCCUGGUAAUGUUGAGGUUCUAACUCUGUCCCGUGAUCCGGGACGAGGACCGUGUCUGGUGGGUAGUUUGACUGGGGCGGUCUCCUCCUAAAGAGUAACGGAGGAGUACGAAGGUGCGCUCAGCGUGGUCGGAAAUCACGCGUAGAGUAUAAAGGCAAAAGCGCGCUUAACUGCGAGACCCACAAGUCGAGCAGGUACGAAAGUAGGUCUUAGUGAUCCGGUGGUUCUGUAUGGAAGGGCCAUCGCUCAACGGAUAAAAGGUACUCUGGGGAUAACAGGCUGAUACCGCCCAAGAGUUCAUAUCGACGGCGGUGUUUGGCACCUCGAUGUCGGCUCAUCUCAUCCUGGGGCUGAAGCAGGUCCCAAGGGUAUGGCUGUUCGCCAUUUAAAGAGGUACGCGAGCUGGGUUUAGAACGUCGUGAGACAGUUCGGUCCCUAUCUACCGUGGGCGCUGGAAAUUUGAGAGGAUCUGCUCCUAGUACGAGAGGACCAGAGUGGACGAACCUCUGGUGUACCGGUUGUGACGCCAGUCGCAUCGCCGGGUAGCUAUGUUCGGAAGGGAUAACCGCUGAAAGCAUCUAAGCGGGAAGCCUACCUCAAGAUAAGAUUUCCCUAGGACUUUAUGUCCUCUAAAGAGCCGUUCGAGACUAGGACGUUGAUAGGUUGGAUGUGGAAGCAUAGUGAUAUGUGAAGCUGACCAAUACUAAUUGCUCGUGAGGCUUGACUAUACAACACCCAAGCAGUUG